UCUUUAUAGUUGUAUCCAUAUGAUGUGCCAGACUUAGGUUCAUAUUUCACCAGGUUGUUGUUAAAUAGCAAUACGGAAAGUAUCAUGCUGUAUGAUGUUUCC
Molecule: long non-coding RNA, 102 nt
Organism: Sander lucioperca (pikeperch)
Lineage: Eukaryota; Metazoa; Chordata; Actinopteri; Perciformes; Percidae
Exons: 3
Source: RefSeq, a predicted model, not a curated record